RNAcentral lists this long non-coding RNA (20402 nucleotides) under Brassica rapa (field mustard). Its description in RNAcentral is "long non-coding RNA (BRAP_LNC001774)". The record is from RNAcentral. Lineage: Eukaryota; Viridiplantae; Streptophyta; Magnoliopsida; Brassicales; Brassicaceae.
CAUCUGCUCUCUCUCUAUUAUUGUACCUCCUUGAUAAACCCUAGAUCUCCCCGAUAAGCAGCAACAAUGGCAGACGCCGAGACUUUCGCUUUCCAGGCGGAGAUCAACCAGUUGCUCUCGCUCAUCAUCAACACCUUCUACAGCAACAAGGAGAUCUUCCUUCGUGAGCUCAUCAGCAACUCCUCCGAUGUAAGUCUCUUUUGCUUUCUCCUGCCUCGAUCUGUAGAUUAGGUUUGAUUACUGUUGUUGUUGUAUCCGAUCUGAAAUAGGGAACUCUUAGCUAUACUGUUGCUAGCGAUUUGAGUUGAAUUGAUUUUGGAUUGAUUAUUGCGAGAUAUAUUGAAUUUUGUGUACGUUCUAUGCGUAAUGUAUACGUUGUUUGCGUUUGUUACUUAAUGGUUCUGAUCUGAUUGUGGUUAAACAGGCUUUGGACAAGAUCAGAUUCGAGUCGUUGACUGAUAAGAGCAAGCUUGAUGGCCAGCCAGAGCUAUUCAUUCACAUCAUUCCAGACAAGGCUAACAACACCUUGACCAUUAUCGAUAGCGGUAUCGGUAUGACCAAGGCUGAUUUGGUCAACAACCUUGGAACCAUUGCGAGGUCUGGCACCAAGGAGUUCAUGGAAGCUUUGGCUGCUGGUGCUGAUGUUAGCAUGAUUGGGCAGUUUGGUGUCGGUUUCUACUCUGCUUACCUUGUUGCUGACAAGGUUAUCGUCACCACCAAGCACAAUGACGACGAGCAGUACGUGUGGGAGUCUCAGGCUGGUGGGUCUUUCACUGUAACCAGAGACACCUCUGGAGAGAGUCUUGGUAGGGGUACUAAGAUGGUCCUUCACCUCAAGGAGGACCAGUUGGAGUACCUCGAGGAGAGGAGGCUUAAGGAUUUGGUCAAGAAGCACUCUGAGUUCAUCAGCUACCCAAUCUCCCUGUGGAUUGAGAAGACCAUUGAGAAGGAGAUUAGUGAUGACGAGGACGAGGAAGAGAAGGACGAGGAAGGAAAGGUUGAGGAGGUCGAUGAGGAGAAAGAAAAGGAGGAGAAGAAAAAGAAGAAGAUUAAGGAGGUUUCUCACGAGUGGGACUUGGUGAACAAGCAGAAGCCUAUCUGGAUGAGGAAGCCCGAGGAGAUCAACAAGGAGGAGUACGCUGCCUUCUACAAGAGUCUCAGCAACGAUUGGGAAGAGCACUUGGCCGUGAAGCACUUCUCUGUUGAAGGACAGCUCGAGUUCAAGGCUGUUCUCUUUGUUCCCAAGAGAGCUCCUUUUGAUCUUUUUGACACCAAGAAGAAGCCCAACAACAUCAAGCUCUACGUCCGUCGUGUCUUCAUCAUGGACAACUGCGAGGACAUCAUUCCCGAGUACCUUGGCUUUGUGAAGGGUAUUGUCGACUCCGAAGAUCUCCCCCUCAACAUCUCGAGAGAGACGUUGCAGCAGAACAAGAUCCUUAAGGUCAUCCGCAAGAACCUCGUGAAGAAGUGCAUGGAGCUCUUCUUUGAGAUUGCUGAGAACAAGGAGGACUACAACAAGUUCUACGAAGCUUUCUCUAAGAAUUUGAAGCUCGGUAUCCACGAGGACUCCCAGAACAGAACCAAGAUCGCUGAGUUGCUCCGUUACCACUCGACCAAGAGCGGUGAUGAGUUGACCAGCCUCAAGGAUUACGUGACAAGGAUGAAGGAAGGUCAGGAGGAUAUCUUCUACAUCACCGGUGAGAGCAAGAAGGCUGUGGAGAAUUCUCCAUUCCUUGAGAGGCUCAAGAAGAAAGGGUAUGAAGUCCUUUACAUGGUGGAUGCCAUCGAUGAAUAUGCCAUUGGCCAGCUCAAGGAAUUCGAGGGAAAGAAGCUCGUCUCUGCAACCAAGGAAGGUCUGAAACUGGAAGAGUCAGAAGACGAGAAGAAGAAAAAGGAAGAGCUAAAGGAGAAGUUUGAAGGACUCUGCAAAGUGAUUAAGGACGUCCUUGGAGACAAAGUCGAGAAGGUCAUUGUCUCUGACCGUGUUGUGGACUCACCAUGCUGUCUGGUAACAGGGGAAUACGGCUGGACUGCAAACAUGGAGAGGAUCAUGAAAGCGCAGGCCUUGAGAGACAGCAGCAUGGGAGGUUACAUGUCUUCCAAGAAGACGAUGGAGAUCAACCCAGAGAAUGCGAUCAUGGACGAGCUAAGGAAGAGAGCCGAAGCUGACAAGAAUGACAAGUCUGUGAAGGAUCUUGUUCUUCUCCUCUUUGAGACUGCUCUUCUCACUUCAGGUUUCAGCUUAGACGAGCCCAACACCUUCGGAAGCAGAAUCCACAGGAUGUUGAAGCUGGGAUUGAGCAUUGAUGAUGAUGAUGCCGUUGAAGCCGAUGCUGAGAUGCCACCGCUUGAGGAUGAUGCCGAUGCUGAAGGCAGCAAGAUGGAGGAGGUCGACUAAAAGCCUGCCCUGUUGCUGCAGUGAACGAUUUUUCUCUACUUAUCUGCUCUUUCUAUGGCUAAAACUAUUAUUUUGGUGUUUUUUCUUCUUUUCUCAAGUACUAUUAGUGGUGUAGUUUUUUUCUCUGAACUAUAACUAUUGCUGUUAAGGGACUUCGUUUCUUCCAAAUCCAGAAAUUGUUAUUGCACGGUUGAUGAGUAUCCUACUGAUAUAUUUUGUAUCUUGAACUUUGCUUAAGACAACAUAGUUAAAGUAUGUUUAAGUACCUGGACUGAAGAGUGGAAAAAAUGUAGUUGCUUGUGUUCUGUCGUUUGGAGUAUUACUCUUUUCUUAAGAGAACAUUAGUCUUCUAUGAUUUGACAGACAAGUUUGAAGACUCAUUAAAAAAACUUACAGAUCUCUUUUUGUCGCAACAGUUUCAAGAUUCUUUGCAUCGCUGCUCUCUACAUAGUAGAUUCACUGGCCAUUGUUAUAGUUCUGAGUGAGGUUUUUUGGGGGAAAACACACAGGUUGAAGCAAACCACUUGGGUAAAAGAUCUAUCAAUUUCAAAAGUUUAUAUAUCAUAUGGACCAGUUGUAUCUACAAAUAGGCCUGGUCAAGAUGUAAAUCGAAAAGAAUUUUGCCUCGCAACAAAGCUCAGCAAGAGAAAAAUAAAUGAGUUCAGAGAAACAAAUUAACUUUCACAAGAAAGCUCAACGAGACAAAUGAACAAAUAAAUGAGUUCAGAGAAAGUCUUUGUAGAUUGCUCUUUUUAUCGCUCUUUUUAUCUUCAGGUAUCUUCAACCUGAGAAUGGAACACAAAGCUUGGAAACGUAGUCGUGAUAUCCCUGCAAGCACAGACACAACAUGGUCACCACCUUUAUUGAGAAGAAACCAGAGAAGCAAUUCUGUUGUAUAGAUUUCAAUAAGUCCCGGUUACAAAAACAUAAACUCACUUGAGAUAUUGAAGAGUCAUGUUCUUGAGAAGGCUAGGAUGUCUAAGAACAAGGCUUCUCCACUCUUCCUUAUCAAUCUUUCCAUCGUGUUUCGUGUCUGCUUCUUCAAACGUCUAAAACAAAUCAAAACUCAGGGAAAGUUACUCUCAACUAAAGCUAUUGUGCGAAGAUGAGAAAAGCAACUUACCUUGUCAAUUAUAUCCUCAAUGACAGUAUCCUUCAGGUUCAUUCCAGAUUCAGCAAGCGUAGCCACAACCAUUUGUUUCACCUGGACAAAAACAGCGGUGAGGAUGAUGAUAAAGUGCAGUUUAAUAUGAAACCUAUUUGAAUAUACCUCUUGCCGUUCUAUGAAACCUUGCUGUUUAAGAUCAUAUAGCUGAAAUGAAACUGCAACAACAACAUAUAUAUAUAAACCAUGAAUCGGAAACAAUAUUAGGACAUUAUUUUUUCUAAGCUAUAAGGGACUUACAUUGGAUUUUGUCAUCUAUAGGUGCAUUGGGAUGGAAUACAGAGAGAGCUCGAGCAAACUCCUCAAACCCAAGUAUUCCAUUGUGCUUUGUGUCAAACAAAUCAAAAACCUACAAACCAAAUGACAUAUGCUUCUUAAGACUUGAUCUUUUGGGGGGGAAAAAAACACUUGUAGUAAAGAAAGAAAUAUUACUCGAUCAGCAAACAAGCUCUCUUUCUUAUUUGUCUUAAACAAUGCCAACUGAAACUCCUCCUGAACCAAAGUUUUAACAAGAGAUGAGUAAACUAGACUGAGAUGGUGUCAACAAAUAAUGAAUUGACCAAAAAGAUUACACAAGCUCUUACCUUGUUUAUAAGCCCAUCAUCAAUCACAGCACUGCUGAUUUUUUUAAACAGCUCAUAAAGAGCUUCUAUCUCACUGACACUAACUGCACCACAAACCAAGUUCCAUUUAUUUUUUUAUUUUUUUCAAACCAAGUUCCAUACAAUCAUAUAAACCGAACUAAAUUAAAAAAAAAGGAAUAGAGAAGCUGAUAGGCAAUACAAACUGUGUCUCUCGAAAGCAAUUCAGGGUCACCAAGUCCGCCACCAGAUUGUUUAUACAAAUCGAGAUCAAAACACCCUAAAACAGAGGUGCAUAAAUGCUUAACACCGUCUAUGCACUGCGUCAUGAUUGAUAACUUAUGCAAAUCAUAACUCUCCAUGCCUGCAAAAUAAAACAAAACAGGGAGAAGAAGUAAAGCCUAAGUGAAAACUCUACAGAAACAAAACAUAUGAACAAAUAUAAAAACCCACCUUAUAAGUUUUAACCUUUGGUCUGAGAAAAGGCAGAGCGCUCUGCGAUGAUCUGUAAUUGUAAAAGCAGAUGAGAUGUAAAUUGUAAUCACUUAAUAAAUCUUUUGGUCUGACAGAGUAGACAUAAGAUUGAAUGUAACACACACAACUUGAAAAAAAGUUAAAGAUAGGAUCAGACAAAGAUUCAUAAUAACAAAAUAAAGGCAACAAAACAUUGCUUACACACUAUAAACUGAAGUCAUUGUCAUUAUUACCAGAUGUUACUUAUGUCCACAUAAACACAAACGAAGGCUUGAAUGAUAUCAUUGGCAAAUUAUUUAAAAAGAUAAACGAGAAUAACGAUGCAAAAGCCUAAAAAUGUUUAAUUCACAUAACAAACCAAAUUUAUAUAUCUAAUUUUCUUAAACAUUAGAAUAAUGGAACAUUGCUCUCUAAAUCACUCCGAUUCAACAUUACAGUAAAACGGAUUCGUGAUGGAAUCACACGUUAUGCAACUCUUAUACUAUUCAGUAGUUGUGAACUGAAUUGGUUUUACAGAUUAACAGAAAUCAACCGAAUAAAAAGUUACCGUUUUUCGAUGCUUCUGAUUGUAUUCCUCAAUCUCAAGGCGGCUCUUUGGCGGUUGGAAGGUGGUGGAGAUUGGUAGUAAGGUGAGAGCCGAUUCUGGUGUAAGCAGAAUGGUUUAGAAGAACAAAUAUAUUUUACAAAACCUGAGAAAAUCUUUUAAACUAUUUAUGUAAAUAAAAUAAAGAAAUAAUCUUUUUAGCAUUAACUAACUUUGGUCUACAACUUUUUAAAUCAAUUAAUCUUAUAUAUUAAAACAGAAGUCACAACCUUAAUUCAUGUGUGAUUUUUUUAAAAAUGGACCUAAUGGACCUAUUCAUAGAAAUUCAUACUAUAUUUUAAUUCAGACUAAUAAUAAAUAUAAUUUUUAAAAUAUUUUAAUCAUAGUAUCUUUUGAUAUUUUUCAUUUUAAAUAUAAAUAUAUUUAUUUUAAAAUUCUAACAAAUCUGUUUAAAAAGAUUUUUACAAGAUCUUCAUUUUUGAAAUUAUAUUUAAAUAUUUUCACUAAUUUCGAAAUUAGUUUAAAAUAUUAUUAUACAUUAAUAUAUUCAGUUAUAUAAAAUGAAAAAUAAAAAAAAUCUAUAAUAUUUUAGUUAUUAUAUAAUCAUAAUCAAUCAUAUUAAAUUAAAAUUAUUAUCUUGAGCUAAAUAUAAUAAAAUUGUAUUAAACUUAUAUAUUUAUAUAUUUUAUUUUCGUAAUUAUAAAAUAUUUAUGUUCAAAAAUAAAAUCUAAUAUGUUGGUAAGAUGGGUUAACAUUAUCAAAUUAUAUAAUACAUGUAUAAAAAUUAACAUGUAUUUAUUUAAAGUUAAUAAUAUAAAAUCUUUGUAACUACAUUAAUUAUAAUAUAUUUUCAUUUUAAAUAUAAUAUAUAUUUAUAUAUUAUAUUUUAAAAAUUCUAAUAAAUCUGUGUAAUAUUUUUUUUUGUCACGAAUAAAUCUGUGUAAUAUUUAAACAAUAACUUAAUGUAUUUUAAGUUAUUGUUUAGAAAUGAAAAUAAAUAAAUUAUAUCCUAUUUUAUCUACUUUUAUAGUCAUGAUCAUGUUAAAAUAUAAUUAUUAUACUAAAAUAAAUAUGAUAAAAUUAUAUUCAAUUGAUAAAUUUAUAAAUUUUAUUUUCAUAAAUAUAAACUAUUUAUUUAAAAUAUAAUAUGAUGAUAGAACGACUUAAAAUUAACAAACUAUAUAAUACAUGUCUAAAAAUUAACAUAUCUUACACUUUUAUAUAUACAAUAAUAAAUUAUCUAAAAUAAAUAAGCAUAAAAAUAUUGGUAAAAAGAAAUCCAGUUUUGAAAUACGGGUCAGAAUUUAGCAUAAAUUAAAUACAAAAUAUUUUUUAAAUAUAUUUUCUCAUGAAUCCCCUAUAUUAUUUUGCUUAAUAAUUAAAUGCAAAUACAAUAAAACAAAUAUAUAAUAGGAAGUGGUAAAUACAUAAGGUUUAAAUAAUUAAUUAAUUAUAACAUGUAAAUUAUAAAAUUAUUGUAUUUGAAAUAGUUAUAUAAAUAUUUAACUAUAUAAUUAUCAUUAAAAAUAUAUACUACUUAUGUUCUAAAACAAUAAUUUAUGUAUAGAAAAAUGAAAACAAACACCUGUGCGGUUGCACGGGUCAAAAUCUAGUUAUGUUGUUGAUACAGCUGUUAAGCCACGAAUGAGUGAAGCUCCAACAACUACUUGUCACACGUCGCAUUUUGUGGAGCCUGUGUUAAAUAAUGCGCUGUAUUUAAUUAUACGACCACGUUUUACUCGGGACUUAAUUUGCACUUUAUUACGGAACCGUUUAAUGUUUGGUUUGGUUUUGUUUUAUUUCCGGUUUACGUUAUAGACGAUCUGAAUUGAACCUGAACCACCGGUCUCAUCAGUUGUCUUUUAACGUUUUCAUUUCACAAUACAUCAAAAUCGCAGCAAUAAUCAACAUUUAAUGUAUAUACGGGUGUGUUAAAAAAAAAAAGUAUAUACGGGUUGUAAGGAUAUAUAUAUGGAGAACCUUUUUAAAAUAUUCAACUCGAUUCAGAAAAUGAAUAUUUCGUGUGUUUUGAGGCAUUUUGAUGAUUGUGUAAAUGGAAUUUAAUUGAUUAAGCGUAUGAUUGUACAAUAAAUCAAUUUUAGAAUGUAAAAUCUCUGACGAACUACAUAAAGUUCGUCUUCGAUCGGUUUAGGCCGAAUUCAAACUGUUUGGUAUACAUUUUCAACACAAAACCGACACUUAUUAUACCGAAUAGGGGCGAAUACAUACGAUUAAAAGCGGUUUACUAAGCCUUGAUAGAGUCACUAAACCAGCUCGACUUGGACGACAAAAGCACAGCGAGGUUCGACCCUAUAGACCCGGUACGUGUCAGGGAAUCAACACGAUGGUGCCUGCACCUGAAAGAGCCGGCGUGUGUCGUCGGAGUCCCAACGGCGUAAACUCGGUGAGUUUUGGUCUAGGUUCUGCUUCUUGAUCUGUUCGACGGGAGAGCCUCCGGAAGGUUGGGAUUUGAUCUUGCCUAAAUUUAUGGAAUACUUCUCCUCCGCCAUAUAUUUUCUGACAACUAGAGCUUAAGGGUUUUCUCUCGCCGUGGUUUUGAUGAAAAAUAAGAACGAUUCGUACUGUUUUUGUUGUUUCAUAGACAUGUCUGUGGGUAUUAUAUGGGGACUUAAGAGACAAGGCAACUAAAUUAGUCGUUGUAAGGUUGUUGACAAACUGCAUUUUUAAGAUUCGGGUGGUUUAGUAUUCUAGAAAAGAAUAAAUAAGAAUUAGAGGGAAAUAUUUGACUUAGUGGUUAUAUUCUUCUUUUUCUAGUUACACAUUUACACAUUUGUGAUCGUCAAAUAGUUAGAGAAAUACAUGGAUAAAACCAAAAUAUAAUUACUGAAAAUAUAUUGGAAACAAAUUGUGUCUAAGCGCCAAACAAAACCCUAAAACUAUUUAAUUAAUUUGGCGAUGUUGUAAGUUGUAACUAAACAAAAAAACAUCCAAAAAUGUUAGUCUCCUAUUUGUAGUAUGGGGAUGACCUUGAAUUCAAAUCUAAAUUAAAGCACCUUAUUGUUGAAGUCAAAGUCAUUAAGAUGCCUUGUGAACCGAAGUUUAUGUCCAACAUGAAAAUCAGGUAUUCUAACUGUCGUACACCAGUUGAACGUAUAUAUAUACCAUGAAUUUGGUAACUACAAAAUUAGUUUGGAAGCUUAUGUAGUUACCUCGUUUAGGUUAAAUCACUGAGGGGUUAAAUAUGCUUUUAUUAGCAAAUAGAACUGAAAAUACAAGGCAUGAUGAGAAAUAACCAUAUGAAGUGUAAACACUAUUACUAUUACUUAUCAAAAAAAAAGAGUGUAAACACUAUAUCAAGAUUUUUAUAAAUGUUGUGGCAUUGUGAUUUGUAUCUCCUCACAAUGUACUUUACGGUUACUGGUGAGCUCUUUCUGUACAAAACUUUUGACACUCACUCACACAAGUAACCUACUUGCUUCAAACCAAAAAUAAAAAUAAAAACCUUUGAGAGAAGAAACCAAACAAACCAAAAACUAUAGAACUAAAAUCAGAGUCUCUUAUGAGCUCUUGUCUGCUUUAGGGUUUUGUGCUUUUUCAUCCGGAAAGAUCUUGUUUGCAGAGAGGACAACAAGAGAUGAUACGAAGCCACUGAUCUACACACUUAAGGUGAAACUUAUGUGAACAUGGAAGCUUCCUUACUUCUUCCUUGUCUUUAUACUUUGCCAAACAUAUACAACACUCCUGCAUAUCAAGAAUAAAGAAAAUCAAAACCUACUUUUUUCUAUCAUAUAUCUAUCUAAGAUUAAUAAUAUACAACAUUUGAUGUCAGAAUACUUAGUGGAUCAGACAGAGUAAUUACAAAUGAAACCAGUUCCGGUAUAGCAUCAUUGAAUAUCUGAUUGAUUAACCAUAUAUUCAAUUUUUGCUAAAACUCUGUCUUAAGAAAAACCCUUAUGGGUCUGCUUUGAUAUGUGAGUCAAAUGAUUAUAACUUACAGGAUCAUCAGUUUUAGGAGCUGAAUCAGAAGCAUUGUCGUCGGCUCGUUUGUGUUUCCAGCUAGGGAGACUAGAGAUUUGGUCAUCAGAUGCACCUCUGUCUGAAGAUCCCAUGUUCAUGUUGUAUCCAAGGAGACUACUAAUGAGAGGCACAAGGCAACAGAGGAAUAGGAAGAGAAGAAAGGGAAAAGAGUAGCAGAGAGCGUUCCAAGAAAGAAGAGAGACGCAGAGAACGUGAAGCUUUGGAGCAUGGUUGAAAGAACCGAAUCUAGAAUCAAACACCCAAACAUUCCCAACCACAAACCAAAUCGCAAAGAACAGCUCUAGAGACGUUCUGCACUUGUUCAUCAAAUGAGAGCUCCUGAAAUUUAAAACAUAUACGAUAUUAAUACAACUUCAGGAUCUUGCAAAGGUUAUAGUAUUCAAAAUCAAGAAAAUAUAAGUUACCUAGUUUCAUCUCUGCCUCUGUGUUGCUGCUCAAUAUCGACAAACCAGUUUCCUUGGUUUAGUUGGCGAAACCGACCAUAUAAUAGCAUAAGACUGAGGAGACAUCCCACAUCAUAACCUGUGAUCCAUAACCUCACUGGCCAAACAGGUCUCUCUUCUUUUGAGAUAGCUAGUGUGAGUGUAAUCACUGUAAGCUGAACAAGCAGGGCUAUAAGCUCAGACAUCAUCCACGUGCUGGAGUUAAAAGGGUUGGAGCCGAGAUCUGAUCUUGAUCCGUUUUGAUAGUGAAACACUCUUCUCAAGAAGAUAAACCAUCUAGCUCUAGAUACCCUCAUAGCAAACCUUAAGUAGAAGGACCUCUCUUGAACAGAGGCAGGCGCAUGAGUGUUGUCACUUCGUGGUGGUGUGGUACUCAAUGAAGAAGAUGAUGAAAUAGUUAUGGAGACAAUAUUGGAAGAUGAUUCAUCCAUUGGAAGUUUUCCAAAGCGUUCAAUAUAUAUUUAAACCUUCAAAGAAAAAAAGAUUGAACAUUAAAAAAAAAAAAAAAAAACUUCUGAAAGUUUAUAAGUUGUGAACACACACAUGAAACUUGGAAGUAUAUAAACGAAAAGAUCAUGGAAAAAAAACACAAGAAAAAACACAGAAACUAAAGAAAAGGAAUCAUGAAAUUUACAUGACCUAACAAUAAUAAAAACACAUGAAAAAUCUAUAUACCUUAUUUGCAACCACCAAAAAGGCAAAACUCAGCUCCGUACACGAACUCCACGACUUCCCGAAAAGGAGGAAUCUAUUUCACAAAAGGAAAGUACCUCUAGUAGCCUAAGCUUUGAGUAUAGAGAUAAGCUUUUGUCUGAAAUGAAAUAGGUUUUAUAGGGAUAACUUGUUUCUAAUAUAGGAGAAAAGAUUGAGAAGACAGGAACAAGAGAAAAAGAUGAUUACAAAGAAAGAUUAGGAAGGUGUUGUGUUUAUGUCAGGGAAGGUGAAGUUGGGCGAGAGAUGGCGACCAAGAAUCACACCAUAACAAAAGGAUUGUUUAUAUAUUUUAUAAGAGACAAACUCUUUGAAGUUUGUGUUUUGUUUUGUUUGCUUACGUUUGAAGAGAAACAAAGAAAGGGAGAGGAAGAGAACCGUUGGCCUAAUCUAACACCUGAGGUUUUGUUUAUGAAGAAAUGUUUAGAUCGCAACUGCUUAUUCCAACCGCCAAUGCAGACCUUCUCUCUCUACUCUGUUUCUCUCUCUCUAGGAUUGAGAGGAAAGGGAAAGAUAUUUUAUUUGAUUUCUUUUUGUUUUGUUUUUAUUUGUAGAAUUUUCGUUUUGGAAAAGAAAUGGAUAAGAAUUAAGAAUAUCUAGAUGAAGUCAUCAAUUCAAAAUUCACCGUAUGACAAAUCUUUUUGUUAUAACAGAACAAUCUUUCUCGCUUUUUAUUAUGUUGAUCAUUUCCCAACUAUAGUGAUAUUAAAUUUUAAUAAAAAAAUAUACUAUAUAUAAAAUUACAAAUUUUUCCUCUACGUCCAUAACUUAACCUUGUAGCAGUAUGGUUCUUAUUCGAUUCAGUGAUUUUACAUAUGUAAUUAUAUUAAAUCAUAUAUAUACACUUUUAUUUGGAUUAAAUAAAUAAAUGAUGCUUAAGAUUACUAAUUUUGACAACAAGAUUGUAUAACUUGGCGGGAGGAAAUGGGAAGGAGUGGGGGAUGGUUGGCUAACUAAUCUCAACCAGAAGAGUCUAUCAAUUAUCAUUUACGUUGUGGAGUGGAGCCCAAUUCCUCACUUUCUUUCAGUUUCCACGUUGUCUUUUGUCCCAUUAUUAUUUUUAUUUUUUGAAAAAGGCUUUUGCCCCAUUAUUGAGUUUUAUUUGUCAGAUGAUAGUUGUGAAAAAGUAUAUGAUUAAAAAUGAAUAAAAGCGAAUACAUUGUGAACGAAUUAAUAUUCUAGAACUUUCGCAAAUUUUUAAAGUCAAUUAUGUGAAUACUAUAUACGUAUAUGUUGAAACCUAGAGUAUUCAAAACAGAAUUUAGUUCUGCAUCUGUGAAAAUUAUAAAAGCGCUUUAGAACUAGUAUUCUGGUUCCGUUGGUCAAUCAUUCAAAUAUGUUGACUUUCUUACAUUGUAUUUUGACACCAAUUCACAUUUACAAAUUACAAGUUGAAGUUUCCGAGAUUGGAAAUAGAGUAAAAGCUAAAUGACUAUGCAUGGUAUAUCUCUAAAAAUAGUAAGUACUAACAGUUGACACUGACAGCACAAGAUCCAAAAUGAAUUUUUUUUUAUCUAAACGACAAGCAAUUUUAACUGUUAUCUAUAGUAACCUUCAAGGAACUACGAUUCUACAUCCGUCUUAUCGACUCAUUGCACUUUGUAAUUUAAAACUAAAUAAAUCUAAACUCUUUGAUUUACACAUCGAAUGAGGAUAAUUUAAUUUAAUCAUCAUUUCAUAAGGUUUAAUCGAAUUUGAAAGCUUGAACAUAAAUCAUGUUUCUCUCCGUGCAUCGUCGACCAUAUGUAUAUAUGUCGGUCUCGUCGACAAUUCGUCGACCAAUGGAGACAUGCAACAUCAUGAUUACUUUAGCAUGCGAAUAUUUCAUGAAUAUUGACUAAUUAUUAUAUUAUUUUUAUAAGAAAAAAAGAAACUCCAAGGCAACAUCACUCAAAGCAUAACACGUGGCUUCACACGAACACACAGACAGGUGGAUAAAAUUAAUAUCGUUAGCUAAGUUGAAAGUUUUUUUUUUUUUUUUUUUUUUUGUUAAGUUGUUGAAAGCUCAUUUAUCCAGUUAUGAGUUAUCAGAUAGCCACAGGACUUCUCGGUUGUUUUUGGUGGUUAUUGUAAUCCCAACAUCACUUUCGUCUUUUGUUAAAGUUAAUAUAAACUCUGUUUUUGUAAUCCAAACACGUAUUCUUUCUUUUUUCUUUUUAUACUUCAUCAUCGCUUCACAUUCUGGAUUUCCACAGCACGAGAAAUCAGGGCCGGUCCUUGACUAAAGCGGACAAAGCUAUAGGUUUAGGCGGCAAAAUUAUGUUACAUAUUUCAGGGGCAGCAAUUUUGUUAGAAAUGAUAGUGGUGUAGUAGUUGUUGCUAUAACUUGGAUUAUGGCUUCGAUUCUUUACUCUUACAUUUUUAUAGGCUAUAUAUUUUAUUGAUAGAUCUAAAGUUUUUGAGCUUUAGAUGCCACAUAGUGAUGGACCGGACCUCUGAGAAAUCCUUGUCAAAAUCAGCUAGAUCAUCCCACAUUACUUUCAGUCUGCCAAAGUAAACUUCAACUGCAUUGCCAUUCUGUUUGCAUGAUGCAAUCCAGCAUGAAGUUGAUGAACUUUUUGUAUCAUCGCUUAUAGAAAAGCCUCAGUUGAAGGCUUCCCCACAUAAUCUUUGCGCUGUCAACCAGUGAUAUUGACGGUCGCAAUUUUGGUUCUACACUCCUGUAGAUCCAACCAAUGAUCAUAGCAUUCACAAUAUCCCACUUUUUUCAUCUUCUGGUUUGUUGACUGGUUGUUUCAGAGUGCCAUCAACGAAACCUAUCUUUUGUUUGGUUCUUAACUAGUUGAACAUCAAUUUUGCCCAUUUUUCAUAAUUUGCUCCAUUCAAAAGAAUGAGUGUCUAAACUUGUCAUGUAUUAUCUAAAGGAUGGAGAUAAUAUGGAGAGACAAGUGGAUCGUUUCUCCACCAGUAGCUCAUGUCGGUGACGCCAUGCUAAUCGAGGUAGAUCAAAAAAAAUCUCAUCGUAACAGUAUAUUUUGGUGGUUCGUAAAUUUAUUAGCUUUGUAGAAAAUUUAGUUGUUUGGCUGUGAUACCAUAACAAACUAAUAUAAACUUUGUUUUUGUUAUUCAUCUCAAGGUCAAUACAUCGAUAUUUAUACACAUGAUAUGAGCCGUAACAAUAGGAGAUAACUACUACAACCAAUAAUGUUGUGUUUAUUUAAAUAUAUGUUUAUCCUUAACUAAUAUUUCGCACAUAUCACCGUCUGUUGAUAUAGGGUUUGACUAAGUUUUGAGUUAAGGUUAGUGCAUAUAUAACACCACAAACUUAAGACCUUAUCACACCAAAAUUACUAGUGCCUCGUAAAAACAAGGAUCUGAAGAAUAAAUCUGAUCCAAAAAGUUAUACCAAACUUGAACUGAAACUGAUAAAAUAUAUGAUGAAUAGAUUCAAAAUUUUAAUAUAUGGAAAAACCGGAGCAGAACCAAACUGAAAUAUUCCAGACACAUAAAAAUAAAUGAUCAUUAAUUAUAUGCUUAAAUAUAUUAAUUAUUUUUAAUAUAAUAUCUAAAAAUAUUCUGAAUUAUCAAAUACUUGGAAAAAUAUCUAAAAUUUGAAGAAGAAAAACUGACAUUGAAGUAAACUACAGUUAGAUAUGUAUGACCCCGAAUUAUUGGGCCCAAAUUAUUCUAUGGGUCAAUCUGGGCCCAAGUUGUUUAAAAUUAACAUAUUAGCGUAAUGCGUAAUGGAUCUCACUUAAGAAGGAUCUAGAAAUUCUGUAUUAUGUGGGUAUAUAUCUAAUUAUAUAAAAGAAUGUUUGAGUCUCUCCCGUCAUGUCCACGUGUAAAUUCUUUUGAUAUAGACUUGACGCGUGUCUCGCUUCUCCACAAACCGAGCUUUCUUCACUCCUUUUCGCUCUAUUGUUUUGGGCUUCAGUUGCCAGGCCCGUAAGUGAAGAUGAACCCUAGAUCGCGUUUCGCGUUUACACCAUCGCCUCCGUCCUGACUUUGCGAUUCCGGUAACGGUUCAGCCGAUACUUAACUCCCAUUUAUUGUUACCUCCACGAUGUGCCUUCAAUGCGGUCGUCGCGUCGCAUAGGCGGUGAGUUUUUUUGUAUAUAUAGACAUCAGAUCUCUCAUCUUCGAUUCAUCAAAUCUUUGUUGCUUAGUACUCAUAUAGAUUCCGCUUCAGUUUUGUCAUGUCUACUCCCAGGGUUUUCUUCUCAGACCUCAAGUCCGGCAAGUGCUCAUCCGCUGUUGAGGCUCGGCUUCUGCGAUUCUGGGAGGCGAAGAAUGUCAAACGCGGUGGGGAGCUGAUGUGGGUCGACAUGCUCUUGAUUGAUGUCAAUGUGAGUUAUUUUCAUACAUGAUUAAUCCGAUUAAACUCUUCGUGUUUGGUUUUUUUUUCCUAAAGUUUAAUCAAUUUUUUUUUUCAUGUAUCAGGCGACAAUGAUGCAAGCCACCAUCUAUGCUAACCGCCUUUCAAGAUUUCGUUCCAAACUCGCCGCCGGAACGAUGUACACCAUCUCUGGAUUCGACUCCCCUCUGAUGAUCCGGUUUAAUGAUUCCACCGCCUUUGAUGAGCUAACCGAGCCGGUUAGUCCAUUACCUGAAGAAGGAUUCCGGUUCCGUAAUCAGUCUGAAUAGCAAGGGUUCAUCGUGUUCGUCGACCUUUGGGUAAUCUCAAACAAUGGAGUUUCGAAGAGAGUUAUCAGAGACGGAUCGAUCGAUCUGUAUUCGUGUCGUUUCGUCUUGCUUCUGGAUGAAUUGAUUUGAUGCCAUUAAUGAUAUUCUUAACUCCAUCAAGCCACUGCAACCACGUUUUGUCAUUCAAUACACCUUCUAUCUCUUCAAAGGCGGUGCAUCUCAAGCUAUAAAAAGCUGAGCUUUCAUCCCAUAAACAUUAUCCUCACAAAUCAAAAUAAUCCUUGAAAGUUAUUUGAUUUUUUAACUCAAUAUUGAUGUUUGUUGUUUGCUUUUUAUACUUUUAUUAUAUGCUUGAAUCAGCAACGCAGGGCCGUGCUAGGCAGGAACUAGAAGACUCUUGCUUUUCGGAUUCCCUUCAUUAACAUAAUCAACAAACUCAACUCUAAACACAGGUUUGUUAAAUCUAUCGUUGUACUUUUGUAAUUGAAGACUCAAAGUUUUACACUUUCUAUGGUUCUUAUUUGGAUUCGAUGUGUGAAAGGCUUGGUAAGAACCAUUUUUGUUUGGUUUUGGCUCCGACAAGAGAGCUUGCUGGUCCGGUAGCAAAUAAAUUCAGAGAAGCCCCAUCUCUCGGUGAGGCACGAAACAGAACAGCAAAAUGAGAACUCUCAGAUGCAGAAUUUCGCUGGUGUUGGUGGUGCUCCUGUUGGUGAUAGUUUAGGACCUUCACGUCUCUCUCCGGCUGACUUCUACGUCUUGAAAGUUUGACAGGGCAUGUGAAUCAUAAUGUAAGCUUUUGAAUUUUUUUUUACAAGUUAUAUACUUUUGGCAGGUAAUGCUUUAGAUAGUAGAUGAUAGUUUUGAAUGUUUUUUUACAAAUUAUUGACUUUUGGACAUGUUAUGCUUUAAGAUAAUGGAUGAUAGUUGGAGAGCAAAAUUUGACAGAGAGUGAGAUAAGAUGGCUUUAGGCUAUGCUUUAAGGCUUAUGGUAUCUAGAGAGAUUGUAUUCCUGAUGGUGAUGAAACUGCUAACAACAUUAUGAGUGUCUCAUGUCCAAACGAGAAAAAUGUUUCCUGUGUCUGGAUUUUUUUUUCUGUUUUUUUUUUGUACCUAAGAUGUUAUGUCUAUCAAUUGUAUUUUGGAAAUCCACAUUUGUUCUGUUUCUAAAAACGUUUAUAUAUGUGUGUACACACAUGUAAUCUAAACUUCUAAGCUCUUCAUAUUAUGUGCAAUGUUAUGACUCAGGAGGAUGAUAAAGCUGAGGCUCCGGAGGAUGAGAUGGUUGUGAAAGAGCCUGAGGUAGAAAAUAAACAGAACUGGAACCGGUGUUUGAAAAACAGAAGGAGAGGAGGCAGAAAGCUUUGAAUGAGAAAGAGAUGGAUAAUGUUGCAUACAAUGACUUCGAAACUUCUAUCAAGCAUUACUCCAAAAAGGCAUUAGGGAGAAACAGAAACAUGAAGAGGUGAAUCGUUUAAAGAGGGAGACUGCUGAAACAGAGGAAUCACAUAGACGAAUAAGAAGAAGAGAGUAAGAGACCCAUGACAGAGCGUCAAGCUGCAGAGAGAGAGAGAAGCUACUAGACUGAGAAUAAGGCAAGAAAAGGCACUUCAUCUUGACGGAUCUGAGAAAGGACCUGAUGCUAAACAUGUAAGUUAUCUUUUCUUUAACACCCAUUACUUAUACUUCGUUCAUGAAAGGCCAAACUAUUACUUUCUAUGCAAAGCACAUCAGUCUAAUUUUUAUGCUGUUGGGAUUCAGAACUUUGUGAUAGUAUAAAAUUUUAAUUUUUAUCAAGCCUUAUAAAUCUCUUUAUAAAUGCAGGAGUCAACAGAAGUUUUUUUUUAUUCUUUAUCGAUGCUUGAAGCGGUAACUCAUCUCUCUCUCUCUAAAUACAUGUAUGUAUAUAUUUCUCAGUACAAUGUCUUACAAAUACGCUUAUCUGUUUUGUUGAAACAUUUGAUUUGUUCUGGACCUUGCGGGGAAUGGUAACAUCAAAUAUGUGUUAUUUACAAUCUACAUAAAUACAUUGACAAAACUGCAAACUUCCUUUGAUUGUGUCUCUUGCUGUUUGUUCUAGGAGGCACAUAUUAUGAACAUAAGAUGUCACUUCUGGCUACUACAAAGUAUCAAGGUAAAAAUUAGAUUCAAAAUUUCUCUUAUGCAAUUCCUGAUAACUUUAAAACUCAUCAUAGUGUUUUCACCUUUUUCUUCUGGUGAUAGGAUCAUUUGAAGAAGAUAGCAUGGUGAUGGAUUCAAAUAUGUAGGUAACAAAAACCACAACUCUUUCUCCCCACUUUCCAACUAUUUGGAUAUUUUAAAAUCAUUUAUUCGUUUAUUGCUUUUAGAUCUUUUACAUUCAUGAUUUGCAUCAAACAAUGUUCACUGUACUCUUCUUCAAUUAGUGAAGGGAAGAGCCAGAGGAUGAGACAUGGGUCAUUCCGGAGAUAAACGUCGUGCCGUGGUGGAAUGUUAACGUAUAGAUCUGAAGGAGAGGCCAAACAAAUCUUUUCUUUAGUCGAUAGAAACACAGUUUUUGUUUUUGUCGAGAGUAACUAUAUAAAAAUUAAUAAUAUUUUAUAAAAACCGAACGAGAGGCACAAUAUAAAACAACGUGAUAAAGAAUAUAUAAGCAUAAUAAAACUAUAAUAUAAAAUAAACUAAACAUAUCACAAAUUUACACAACAAAAAUAAUUUAUAGUAUUCUUAUAUCAAACAAUUUUAAUCAAAAAAUGACAAAAAUAAAAAAAAGAGCAGUCACGAAAAAUAAUGAUUCAUGCAUAAUAUAUAACAAACUAUUCAAAUAAAAAUCAAAUAUUAGUUAGUAUGUUUAGUUUUCUCAAACAUUCCUCUAAUCAUACUAACAUUGUAACAAUCUAUUACUUUUUGAAAGUGGGGUGCUGCAUUUUGUGUCCGUAAAGGACCAGAAGAAGAACGUUUGGCUACAUAGGUAUGUCUCUGCAUUUAAAUAGAUUUGUGUAUCAUGUUAUUGGCUUAAUGCUUUCGUGUUGAUCAUUCUGUUUAUGUGCAAUACUUGGACCACAGAGAGUGAGCAUGAUCGAGUAUGAACUCAAGAACAUGUGUAGACUUUAACAUGGUGAGUCAGCAUCCCCGAUUCUGAUGAACUCAUGUAACUGAUCUUACAGAGGGAGAUGAUCCCCUGAAUUGGCUGUUACCAUCAACUAUUGUUUGUUUUAUAAAACAAACAAAUCUUCUUUUUUUUUCCACUGUACUUUUCUAUAUAUAAAACAAAUCUAAAAUAACCAACAACUGGAUGCAAACCUCUUUGAAUGUGAAUGUGUAAAGUCAAAAAGUAGGCUGAAUCAGUCCAAUUAAUUGUUUAUGACACAAAGACAAAAUUAAGAAAAACAAUAUUUUAAACUUACGACAAAUACUCAGUAACAUAUUAUUUAACCGUACAACAGCAUGCUACAUACAAAGACACAGCACUCGGCGGUGAGCAACGCAGCACUCGGCAGAGAGAAAGAAGAAAUCGGCGGAGAAUAACGGAGAAAGUAGUGAAAGAGCAACAGAGCAAUGGCGGAUAGCAAUGAACAAGAGGCAUUGAGAUGGAUCAAGUGACGGAAAGAGUGAGAUGGACAGACAUGAAACAAGCGACAGAUAGUGUGACAAGAGAAAGGAAAUGAAAUUGCUGCAGUUCAAUAUGGCACAAGGGAGGUUCAUAGGCUCUCAGACAUGGUAAAUUAAUCACUCUGUUAGAAAACAUAUAACAAAGGUACAUGCCCAAUUGUGCUUAUUUCUUUCAAAGUAGAACCUCAUGAAAGAAAGUUGACACCUAUUGAAGAUAUCAAAGCUCUAAACAUGAAAACAUAAGUAAUUUCAAAUUCUAACAACAUUAAAAUCUGGAAUCUUCUUUGUAUUUGUUCAAAGUUUGUUAUACGAAUCCUUCUUUGCAUGUCUCUCCACAUGUUCAGUGCAUAUAUCAUAAGUUAGAUUGUAUGUUAUGUGUGGUCAUGUUAAUUUUGUACUUAUUGACUAUAAAAUGCAUUUUAUUCAUGAAUGGUUAACGGUAACAACUGUAUUUGGGACAUGAAAAAAAAUACAAUAGUGUUGUACUUAAUAGAAAACGACAAUAAUUUCACAAAUAAUCCAUUUAUAAUUAAGCAUGAAAAAAAACACUCAUUAAUUCAAAUAAUAACUCAGAAUAUAUAUAAAAGCUAACAUCUAACCAUUCAAUUAUUAUCCAAAAUUCUUAAACAAAAGAACUUUAACCAUUCAUAAUAUAAAUUGUAUAACAAAAUUAACAAACACCAUAUAAUAUCAUACACAAAUUCAUCAACAAAUAAUAAUCACAAUAUAACAAAAUUUGUUAUACUUUGGUGAUAACUUUUUUGAAUCAACAACAAAUUUUGAGAUACAAUUAUGAUUAUCAUUUUUCAAAAUUGAUUAUAUAUAUAUAUAUACAUAUAUUAUAAAUGGGGGCAUUUACAUCAAAACAGACUUUUGUCGAAAUGGAAUAAAAAUUUGAAAAGAAAAAAUUUCAAACACUUAUGAAAAUAAGAUAAAUAAUAUUUUGAUAAUGGGUUCAAUUAGUUGGAUUGUAAAUGCAUAACUUUUAUUGUAAGAACUCAGUUUGUCAUUUUUAGUGCCAUAGUUGUAAGUUUUUUUAUCUACAAAAUAUUACAAUUUUUAAACAGUUGAUUAAAAAAAAGCAUAAAGAUAUAUAAGGUGGUAAAUUAAAAGGUAGAGUCCAUUAAAUAAAUCAUAUACUAAUUAGAAACAAACGUUAUAAAUAGUUUUAUGUGUACUGAAACAUGUAAGCAAAUCAACCAAUUAAGCACCAUAAAUAAAAAAAAAAAUUUAAAAAAACAAAAAAAUAUUUAAAUUUUGUUCAUUCUGCUUUUUACCUUAUAUAUAAUUUUUAAUGACAAAAAAUAGAUACACAAAUUUCGAAUCGCGUAAGACAAAAACAUUGAAUAUUUUAAAUUAUUUUACAUUUAUCUAUAGUUUUAUAUAUUUUUAUAAUAGAUUAUCAAAUUUAUAUAUUAAAAUAAUCAUACUAAAUAUAUAAUUAAAAUUAAAUUUAAUAAAAAAACCCGGGCGUAGCCCGGGCCGACCCUAGUAUAUAUAUAUAUACACACAACUACUUCCUUCAUAACUUAUAUCUUCGACUACUUGGCUGCUGCUCUCUCUCUCUCCUUGAUAAACCCUAGAUCUCCCCGAUAAGCAGCAACAAUGGCAGACGCAGAGACCUUCGCUUUCCAGGCUGAGAUCAACCAGUUGCUCUCGCUCAUCAUCAACACCUUCUACAGCAACAAGGAGAUCUUCCUUCGUGAGCUCAUCAGUAACUCUUCCGAUGUACGUCUCUUUUGCUUUCUCCUGGAUCGAUCUGUCGAUUAGGUUUGAUUAGUGUUGCUGUUGUAUCCGAUUUGAAUAUUGAAGUAGGGAGCUCUAUGAUAUUCAAAUCUGUCUUCCUAGAUUUAGUUUUGCUACCAUGGUUAAGCAUUAGGUGUUAAGCUUCGAUGAAUUUGAUUUUCGUCUUUUA